Molecule: ribosomal RNA, 582 nt
Filed under: uncultured bacterium
Lineage: Bacteria
Description: partial 16S ribosomal RNA
Rfam family: Bacterial small subunit ribosomal RNA
Source: RNAcentral
UGGGGAAUAUUGCACAAUGGGCGCAAGCCUGAUGCAGCCAUGCCGCGUGUGUGAAGAAGGCCUUCGGGUUGUAAAGCACUUUCAGCGAGGAGGAAGGUGGUGAGCUUAAUACGCUCAUCAAUUGACGUUACUCGCAGAAGAAGCACCGGCUAACUCCGUGCCAGCAGCCGCGGUAAUACGGAGGGUGCAAGCGUUAAUCGGAAUUACUGGGCGUAAAGCGCACGCAGGCGGUUUGUUAAGUCAGAUGUGAAAUCCCCGGGCUCAACCUGGGAACUGCAUUUGAAACUGGCAAGCUAGAGUCUCGUAGAGGGGGGUAGAAUUCCAGGUGUAGCGGUGAAAUGCGUAGAGAUCUGGAGGAAUACCGGUGGCGAAGGCGGCCCCCUGGACGAAGACUGACGCUCAGGUGCGAAAGCGUGGGGAGCAAACAGAUUAGAUACCCUGGUAGUCCACGCUGUAAACGAUGUCGAUUUUGGAGGUUGUGCCCCUUGAGGCGUGGCUUCCGGAGCUAACGCGUUAAAUCGACCGCCUGGGGAGUACGGCCGCAAGGUUAAAACUUAAAUGAAUUGCGGGUCUAGCUGUUCC